This 4889-nucleotide long non-coding RNA is filed under the name Linum usitatissimum (flax). RNAcentral describes it as "long non-coding RNA (LUSI_LNC003495)". Lineage: Eukaryota; Viridiplantae; Streptophyta; Magnoliopsida; Malpighiales; Linaceae. The record is from RNAcentral.
GAUAAAUGACCUGAAACGGGCUAUUGGUGUACAACGAAUAGGAGUCCCUCCCCUUUUUCUCUUUGAUACAAGUCACUAGAUUGAAGUCACCUACCAUAAGGGAAUGUAAGGAAGAAGCCGAAUCAAGUCUAAGAGAGCCGAGAGUUGCAUUGCUCGAAUUGAGUCCAAACAGUUUAAGUAGACACACACUAUUAGUAUCUCCAUUCCAUUAGGUAGUAGUACACGGAGAGCAAUAAAAAAAGUGUCUGAAGCAACCACAUGACAUGGAUAAUCAUUAUGCCAAGCAAUUGCAGUCCACCAGCAUAAGUACUAGUACAAUCAAUAAUAAAAUUAUUAUUACGAAAGAACCCCAAAGAGCGAAAAUGAUUAUCUUUUUGUGUAGAAAAAGUACAGGCCAGGUCCUGCAUCUCAGGGUCGGCCGCCAAGAUAGAAUCCUCAUCCAACAGCUCGCCAAAGUAGAAUGUGAUAAUGCCAGUUUCGGUAAGUACCUGGUCAGGGUAGGCAUGAAGGCGCUUCACAGAAGUUGAAGGAUCCUCAAAAUCUUAUGGUCAAGGUCUUUUAUGGUCCGAGAGCAUGAGGUGCUCCAAUUCUGUGGCAGGCAAACAUAGAGAACCAUUAAGGUUAGUUCGAGUAGAUAGAGAAGGAGAUACCAUCUUGCAAAAUUUUAGAAUCUAAAACACGAAAAGGCUGAUAAUUAAUGCAUGAAGAGUAUUAAAAAAUAAAUAGUUUACGAGUUGACACAGACAACUGAUCCGAGUCCGACCUAUCAUCAGAGAAAGUUGUCAAGAAGAAUUUAUAAAAAUAUGGGGAGGGGUGGCACCCGGAAAUGCCAGCAGUUCCAAAAAAAUAGAUAAGGACUUGAAAAAACGAGUAAGAUUGAUACAAGUAGCUAUAGAUGACCAACUUGUGGCAUAUCCGAAACAGGAAGAUCCGCUGGUGAGUCAAGCACCAUAUCCCUAGAGGAGGAUUCCAUACUAUUUCCCGCUGGACCGGAAGAGAGUUUGGAGAGAAAAGGCUGUUGAAAGAUGUAGGGGAGUGGUUUGUGACACACCUGCUUCGACCUGGAAGAAGAAGCCAGAGAGCCCGAAGCUUACGAAAGCUGAAGAUUCUUAACCAAAAAUCCUAGGUAACGAACUGACAUCCAUAGUCCACAAUCAGCCAGAUCCGUUGUUAUGAUAUCCCUAUAAGGACAACGACGAUUAACAUGACCUAGGAGACCACAAAUAUAACAGAUGGAGGCAACUUUUUCAUAGCGUAAGUGGACCUAGAAAGGUCAUUCAUCCGUAUCACCGCCUCAAUCCGACCGGGAAACUGGAGAGAAGACCCAUAAGAACAGUCACUUUAACAAAGUGAGGUCCCAAAUCACCUUCGUUGGUUGAAAAAACGGCAGAAAUGACAAUUGUACCCAACUAAUGAACCAGUUUGAAAACAACAGGGCAGGACUUCAAUAUGAAUCUUGAUAGGCAUGAACUGCAACAUGUCAAAUAGAUUCUUGCUCGGAGGUUCCCAAUGAAUCAGGUGGAUGAUAAAGUACUUGAAACUCCAUGGUUGGUCCGCCAAGACAGCAUCACGAGACUCCAUCAAAGGGAGAACAAAAUGAAGCAGGCCGUGACCUAGUUUAAUGAUUGACAGGUUCCGAGGAUUUAACUUCCAUUGGUGAGCUAGAUCCUGAGUAACAACAUGCAUAAGCUUCAGUAGGGCCAAAAGAUGUGGCCAACCAAACUGUAGCGACGACGGUCAGGCCCGUCUUUUACAUCCUCCCAAGAGAAAGCCACCGAGAUCUUCGUCAAUGAUACCUUCGGCGGUAUGCUUGCCAUCGUGAUCCCAAAAUGAUUACAGAUACCAAUGGCUAAGUACAAUCAUGAGAAUUGAGCGAAAAAGUGUGAAGUAGAAUAGAAGAAAAACAAUUGAGCAGAUGGCCCUAAUAUAUGAAAUGGGAUGAUGGCGGUUAACCUUACCAAAGAAAAGGAAUAAUGCCAACCAGGAAAACCCAGAGAAAACUACGAGUAGUUAAGAGCGAGAUGCCGAAAGAUCUAACUGUCGGCAAACAAUAGAUAAGGGGCGAAAGGGCCAAAAAAAUCGGUGUGUGUGAGAAAUAAGAGAUGGCCAAAUUAACUGGAAAAGACGAAGCCGAAGAAAGCGCGGAAGAGGCUGUGAUUACUUCACUCCUUGGGAUGCCAGAAACAGAACUAUAUGCAACAGAGGGUUGGAAGACGAGCAGAAAGUUAAGCAGGGAGGGGAAAACAUGAAGGAGAGACUAGAGAGAAUUGCCAUCAUCCAUAUUAUUAUUAUUAUUAUUAUUAUUAUUCUAAUUCUAAUAAUAAUACAACACCCCGAAGUAGCCCAGGGGAUUCAGGGCCUGGGUUUCCAGGCUAACCGGUGUCCGAACCAGUCAAAAUCGGAUAACAUAAGCCUGUUAACUCGUAUCUUACUUAUUAGGGCCGGGCUUUGGGUAGUGGGUUAGGUCCAAUUGCGGGUAUUGGGUUUUUCCAGGUAAAACCCGAUUACAGCCCGGUUAACUGGUAAUUGGACCAGUUGCAUAAAAAAAACAACUACAACAUUUUCUCCAGCUUUCUUCCCUUUCUUAUAAACAAGAACUGCACAUUUCAAAAAAUAUACAUUUAAGAGUUGCACAUUUCUAGAAAUAUAUCCAUAUGUUCAUCAUUAAUCAACCCAACUAGGCAUUUGUUCAAUAUUUCCACUAGAUAUUUCCUACCACCAAAUUACAUACACCAAUAGAACAUAAAUACAAUUUGUAGUUGUUGCUCCGAUUCCUACAAAAGGGUUGUCGUGGCUCAGAUUUAGAGUUUAUGGCUGCAAUUUUUGAAAAUAAUACAGUUAAUGGUUGUUCAUAGAUUUAAAGGAACAAUCAAAUAUUGACACGAAAAUAGUAUAUAACGAAAAUAGUUACCUGGCAUACAUUAACCUAAUAACUGAGCAUUAUAAAAGAUAGCAACAUUAGAACCACCAAUGACUGAAUCAUUCUUCGUCGUAUCCUAAAAAAUAGAAUGUACUUCUGAUUUAUAACUCAUAAGGGCUAACAGAAUAGAUUGGAAUUUAGAUUUGCAAAAUAAAACCAACAUUACGAAAGCUAAGCUACUUCAAGUUUGUAAUUCAGAACCAUUAUGAUCACUAAUUAAUACCUUCUAACUCAUAAGAGUUUGCGUCAUCAAAAGGUAAAACAAUUUCAAAUUCUGAACUUGAUUCACCCCAAUCUACAGCAGUAUCAGCACUUGUUGUUGCAGGAGCACUUGUAGUUGCAGCAACACUUGUAUUUGUAGUAGCAUUCGCAUUUCCAGUUGCUGAAAUUACUGGAUUGAAUCUUGCAUCUUGAGAGCAAGCAAUAGCCACUACAAAUAAUCAAGAGCCAUUAACAAAUAACAAAUAAUCAAAAGCCAAUAACCAAGAGCAUUACCUUCCUCCAAUUCGUCAUCAGGUAACAACAAAAAUUAGAGAAUCUAAGCCAAUCUUCUGCACAUAUGAGAGCCUCUACAAUUACAUGAUUUAACGAACUCCUAAAUGAGUCUAGCACACGACCACUAGUACUAAAUGCGGACUCAUAGGGCACGAUGGAUAUAGGAACCGCUAAAAUGUCCUUGACCAUGUCACUUAACACAAGAUAUCUCACACCAUAAUCCUUCCACCAACCUAAUAUAUAUCAAACUGAUUCUCGGGAUCGUCAAUAGUACAUGUUUGUUCAUGUGGCAGCGAUAAAUAGAUCUCCAAGUCACUUCGUGGAGAAACAACCUCAACCACUAAAUAGUCAAGAAAAAAUUGCUUCCUAUAUGGGUUCCAUGUACUCAUUGGUAGAAGAGAAACAUUUGAAGUACUACGUGUUGAGUGAGAAGUUGACUCGUGAGAAGCAUUGGCUGCUUUGUGUUUGUCUUCAUAAUGUGCAUAUAACUCAUUCAGAUCUUCCGUCAUCUCUUGCAUCAAUUCUGCUGCUCGUCAUUGACCAUACAAUUUGACAAAAAGCAUAUCUAGGAAAUCCAAUUUGAGCCUAGGGUCAAACAUAACAUCAAUGUAGCACAAUUUAUUCAACCUUGAGUUUUCCCUUCUUCCUCGCACCAAUAUUUGUUUACUUUCUUCAUCAUUUUCCAGCCAUGUUUUUGACACCUUCAUCGCGACUACGCUCCAUCUCUCUAAUUUGAAGGAAAACUAUAGUAACUUCUCCUAAAAAUAGAUGAGUUGUGACAUAUGAAGUACCUGAAGCAAACACUAUCAUAUCUUGAAAAAAAUUGAAGGUAUGGAAGCAAGUUCCUAAUACUCUCCGAGUCAGCAUGUGUCUGAGGACCCGAUGUAAUGCCUUUAUAGUUCUUCUGCAUUAGAUCAUUUCUAUAGUCAAAAUCUAUCGACUCAAGUGAAUUAAAAGGAUUCUUAAAAUCAGCCACCUUUAACAUCAAAUAGGUGGAAUUCCAUCUUGUAGCCAAACACACCAACUUCUUACUUUGAAUCCUCUGCAAAAAUACACAUUCUUUGCAUUUUCCCAUCUAGCUGGUUAGCUGUGAACAUAUUGCAUAGCUUCACGGACUCGCCUAACUGACAUGGCAACCUGCUCCAAUCCGUCUCCUACAAUCAGAUUCGUUAUAUGUGCAAUGCAACACAUAUGCACAUAUUUUCCUCCAAGUACUCGAGUCCCCCAAUCCUUGAAUUUAUUUAACAAAUGAUAAAUUGCAGUAUCAUUUGUAGAAGCAUUGUCCACAAAUUAUUGAGAAAAUGUUCUUCAAAUUACAUUCCUCAAGAAAAGAUGGAACAACCGCUGCAAUGACACACCCCUUACGACUGAAAAUUCUGCAACUCUUUCAUAGCGUAAGUGGACCUAGAAAGGUCGUUCAUCCGUAUCACCGCCUCAAUCCGACCAGGGAAACUGGAGAGAAGACCCAUCAGAA